AGAGUUUGAUCAUGGCUCAGGAUGAACGCUGGCGGCGUGCUUAAUACAUGCAAGUCGAACGGAGAAUUAGCAAUAGUUCUUAGUGGCGAACGGGUGAGUAACGCGUUGGUGACCUGCCCCGAAGAGAGGGAUAACAGUUCGAAAGGACUGCUAAUACCCCAUGUGGUUGUCGAGGUUAGAGGCUUGGCAACUAAAGGAGCAAUCCGCUUCGGGAGGGGCCUGCGUCCCAUCAGCUAGUUGGUAGGGUAAAGGCCUACCAAGGCUAAGACGGGUAGGGGGCCUGAGAGGGUGACCCCCCACACUGGCACUGAAACACGGGCCAGACACCUACGGGUGGCAGCAGUAGGGAAUAUUGCACAAUGGGCGAAAGCCUGAUGCAGCAACGCCGCGUGCGCGAUGAAGGCCUUCGGGUUGUAAAGCGCUUUUGGGGAGAUGAGGAAGGACAGUAUCCCCAGAAUAAGGCUCGGCUAACUACGUGCCAGCAGCCGCGGUAACACGUAGGAGCCAAGCGUUAUCCGAAUUCACUGGGCGUAAAGCGCGUGCAGGCGGCUUGGUAAGUUGGAUGUGAAAUCUCCUGGCUCAACUGGGAGAGGCCGUUCAAUACUGUCAAGCUAGAGGUCGGCAGAGGAAAGUGGAAUUCCAGGUGUAGUGGUGAAAUGCGUAGAUAUCUGGAGGAACACCAGUGGCGAAAGCGGCUUUCUGGGCCGCACCUGACGCUCAGACGCGAAAGCUAGGGGAGCAAACGGGAUUAGAAACCCCGGUAGUCCUAGCCGUAAACGAUGUAGACUUGGUGUCGGCGGGGUAAAAGCCGUCGGUGCCGAAGCUAACGCGAUAAGUCUACCGCCUGGGGACUACGGCCGCAAGGUUAAAACUCAAAUGAAUUGACGG
RNAcentral lists this ribosomal RNA (888 nucleotides) under uncultured bacterium. Its description in RNAcentral is "bacterial SSU rRNA". It matches the Rfam family "Bacterial small subunit ribosomal RNA", at positions 8 to 916 of the family's 1533-position model. The record is from RNAcentral.